ACAGGCCGAUACCGACUCUUUUCGAAAACGAGAGUCUUUCCGUAAACAGCA
Molecule: ribosomal RNA, 51 nt
Filed under: uncultured Geminigera
Lineage: Eukaryota; Cryptophyceae; Pyrenomonadales; Geminigeraceae
Source: RNAcentral